AGUGAACGCUGGCGGUAGGCCUAACACAUGCAAGUCGAACGGCAGCACAGUAAGAGCUUGCUCUUACGGGUGGCGAGUGGCGGACGGGUGAGGAAUACAUCGGAAUCUACUUUUCCUGGGGGAAAAACGAGGGAAAAUUUAGCCUAAUACGCAAUACAACUAACGGGUGAAAGCAGGGGUCCUCGGCACUUUGGCGGUUUGAUUGAGCUGAUGUCGGAUUAGCUAGUUGGCGGGGUAAAGGCCCACCAAGGCGACGAUCCGUAGCUGGUCUGAGAGGAUGAUCAGCCACACUGGAACUGAGACACGGUCCAGACUCCUACGGGAGGCAGCAGUGGGGAAUAUUGGACAAUGGGCGCAAGCCUGAUCCAGCCAUACCGCGUGGGUGAAGAAGGCCUUCGGGUUGUAAAGCCCUUUUGUUGGGAAAGAAAAGCAGCAGGUUAAUACCCCGCUGUUCUGACGGUACCCAAAGAAUAAGCACCGGCUAACUUCGUG
This 492-nucleotide ribosomal RNA is filed under the name uncultured bacterium. RNAcentral's name for it is "partial 16S ribosomal RNA". It matches the Rfam family "Bacterial small subunit ribosomal RNA", at positions 29 to 507 of the family's 1533-position model. The record is from RNAcentral.